GACGAACGCUGGCGGCGUGCUUAACACAUGCAAGUCGAGCGGUAAGGCCCUUCGGGGUACGACGAGCGGCGAACGGGUGAGUAACACGUGGGUGACCUGCCCUUAGCUCUGGGAUAAGCCUAGGAAACUGGGUCUAAUACCGGAUAUGACCUCAUGACGCAUGUUGUGGGGUGGAAAGCCUUGUGCGGCUAGGGAUGGGCCCGCGGCCUAUCAGCUUGUUGGUGGGGUGAUGGCCUACCAAGGCGACGACGGGUAGCCGGCCUGAGAGGGCGACCGGCCACACUGGGACUGAGACACGGCCCAGACUCCUACGGGAGGCAGCAGUGGGGAAUCUUGCGCAAUGGGCGAAAGCCUGACGCAGCGACGCCGCGUGAGGG
RNAcentral lists this ribosomal RNA (377 nucleotides) under uncultured bacterium. RNAcentral's name for it is "bacterial SSU rRNA". It matches the Rfam family "Bacterial small subunit ribosomal RNA", at positions 28 to 407 of the family's 1533-position model. The record is from RNAcentral.